Molecule: ribosomal RNA, 253 nt
Filed under: uncultured bacterium
Lineage: Bacteria
Description: partial 16S ribosomal RNA
Rfam family: Bacterial small subunit ribosomal RNA
Source: RNAcentral
UACGGGGGGAGCAAGCGUUGUUCGGAUUUACUGGGCGUAAAGGGCGCGUAGGCGGUAGCACAAGUCAGUUGUGAAAUCUCCGGGCUUAACUCGGAAAGGUCAACUGAUACUGUGCGACUAGAGUGCAGAAGGGGCAACUGGAAUUCUCGGUGUAGCGGUGAAAUGCGUAGAUAUCAGGAGGAACACCGGUGGCGAAGGCGGGUCUCUGGGCCGAUACUGACGCUGAGGAGCGAAAGCGUGGGGAGCGAACAGG